UACGAGGGGGGCGAGCGUUGUUCGGAAUUAUUGGGCGUAAAGGGUGCGUAGGCGGUUUUGUAAGUCUUAUGUGAAAUCUAUGGGCUCAACUCAUAGACUGCAUGAGAAACUGCAGGGCUUGAGUGUGGGAGAGGUGAGUGGAAUUUCCGGUGUAGCGGUGAAAUGCGUAGAUAUCGGGAGGAACACCCGUGGCGAAGGCGGCUACCUGGACCAGCACUGACACUGAGGCACGAAAGCGUGGGGAGCGAACAGG
This 253-nucleotide ribosomal RNA is filed under the name uncultured bacterium. RNAcentral's name for it is "partial 16S ribosomal RNA". It matches the Rfam family "Bacterial small subunit ribosomal RNA", at positions 524 to 776 of the family's 1533-position model. The record is from RNAcentral.